This 406-nucleotide ribosomal RNA is filed under the name uncultured bacterium. RNAcentral describes it as "partial 16S ribosomal RNA". It matches the Rfam family "Bacterial small subunit ribosomal RNA", at positions 30 to 526 of the family's 1533-position model. The record is from RNAcentral.
AUUGAACGCUGGCGGCAGGCUUAACACAUGCAAGUCGAGCGAGCGGCGGACGGGUGAGUAAUGUCUGGGAAACUGCCUGAUGGAGGGGGAUAACUACUGGAAACGGUAGCUAAUACCGCAUACCAUCAGAUGUGCCCAGAUGGGAUUAGGUAGUAGGUGGGGUAAUGGCUCACCUAGUCGACUAUCCCUAGCUGGUCUGAGAGGAUUACACGCCACACUGGAACAGAGACACGGUCCAGACACAUACGGGAGGCAGCAGUGGGGAAUAUUGCACAAUGGGCGCAAGCCUGAUGAAGCCAUGCCGCGUGUGUGAAGAAGGCCGUCGGGUUGUAAAGCACUUUCAGCGAGGAGGCGUUACUCGCAGAAGACGCACCGGCUAACUCCGUGCCAGCAGCCGCGGUAAUUC